UUAUUUAUCUGAGGCAAAUCCUCAUCUAGUUGUAGUAGACCCACAUCUGACUGCUUAGAAUCACUAGUUAUCGUAGGAUCGACUAUAUCAAAAUUGGUUGGUUUCUUGUUUUCAAAAAGAAUUAAAAUUUGAUGCAGAUGAAAGCUAAAAA
Populus trichocarpa (black cottonwood) is the source of this 151-nucleotide non-coding RNA. The record is from Rfam. Lineage: Eukaryota; Viridiplantae; Streptophyta; Magnoliopsida; Malpighiales; Salicaceae.